Molecule: ribosomal RNA, 471 nt
Filed under: uncultured bacterium
Lineage: Bacteria
Description: bacterial SSU rRNA
Rfam family: Bacterial small subunit ribosomal RNA
Source: RNAcentral
GACGAACGCUGGCGGCGUGCCUAACACAUGCAAGUCGAGCGGAGGAUUCGAGAUGUUUACAUCGAAGGAUCCUUAGCGGCGGACGGGUGAGUAACACGUGGGUAACCUGCCUCAGAGUGGGGGAUAGCCUUUCGAAAGGAAGAUUAAUACCGCAUAAGAUUGUAGCGUCACAUGGCGCAGCAAGAAAAGGAGCAAUCCGCUUUGAGAUGGACCCGCGGCGCAUUAGCUAGUUGGUGAGGUAACGGCUCACCAAGGCCACGAUGCGUAGCCGACCUGAGAGGGUGAUCGGCCACAUUGGAACUGAGACACGGUCCAGACUCCUACGGGAGGCAGCAGUGGGGAAUAUUGCACAAUGGGCGAAAGCCUGAUGCAGCAACGCCGCGUGAGUGAUGAAGGCCUUCGGGUCGUAAAGCUCUUUGAUCAGGGAUGAUAAUGACAGUACCUGAAAAACAAGCCACGGCUAACUACGUG